ACACGUGGAGAACUUGCCCUACGCUGGAGGAUAACGUCGGGAAACUGACGAUAAUACUCCAUAGCCUAUCCGUCCUGGAACGGUGGAUAGGUGAAAGCUCCGGCGGCGUAGGAUAGCUCUGCGGCCUAUCAGGUUGUAGCGAGGGUAACGUCCUCGCUAGCCUACGACGGGUAUGGGUGUUGGGAGACAUCGCCCAGAGAUGGAUUCUGAGACACGAAUCCAGGCCCUACGGGGCGCAGCAGGCGCGAAAACUGCACAAUGUGGGAAACCACGAUGCGGGAAACCCAAGUGCCAGCGCUAUGCGUUGGCUGUCCUCCAGUGUUCGUAACUGGGGAAGAAAGUGCUGGGUAAGACGGGUGCCAGCCGCCGCGGUAAUACCCGCAGCACAAGUGGUGGUCAUUAUUAUUGGGCCUAAAGCGUCCGUAGCUGGCUUGUUAGAUGCCUGGGUAAAUCGAUGCGCUCAACGUAUCGAACUCCGGGUAGACCGGCAAGCUUGGGACCGGGAGAGGUGUAGGCUACUCGAGGGGUAG
This 530-nucleotide ribosomal RNA is filed under the name uncultured archaeon. RNAcentral describes it as "bacterial SSU rRNA". It matches the Rfam family "Archaeal small subunit ribosomal RNA", at positions 96 to 629 of the family's 1478-position model. The record is from RNAcentral.